Amphimedon queenslandica is the source of this 169-nucleotide long non-coding RNA. RefSeq lists it as uncharacterized. The record is from RefSeq and is a predicted model, not a curated record. The transcript is spliced from 3 exons. Lineage: Eukaryota; Metazoa; Porifera; Demospongiae; Haplosclerida; Niphatidae.
CAGGCUGCUAAUCUCUAUGUAAUCAAGCUCUCUGUCUUGGAUAAUGAGAUCAUUCUUAAUGGUUUGGGUCAUAUCAUAUCAGCAAUUUUAACUGAAUAUAUAAAGCAAUAUUCAUCUUCUCAUGAAGAGCCAAAGUCAUUAAUAGGCGCUGUUACCAGCUGGGUAAGAA